GAUGAAGAACGUAGCGAAAUGCGAUAAGUAAUGUGAAUUGCAGAAUUCAGUGAAUCAUCGAAUCUUUGAACGCACCUUGCGCCCUUUGGUUAUUCCGAAGGGCAUGCCUGUUCGAGCGUCAUUUCAACCCUCGGGCCCCGCAUUCGUGCGGGCCCCGGCGUUGGGGACCGGCCUCCGCAUCGGACGGCCGCCCCCGAAACCCAGUGGCGGUCCCGCCGCGGCCUUCUCUGCGUAGUAGCAUACACCUCGCACUGGAGAGCGGCGCGGCCACGCCGUAAAAGAAACGAACUUUCUGAAGGUUGACCUCGGAUCAGGUAGGAAUACCCGCUGAACUUAAGCAUAUCAAUAAGCGGAGGA
This 357-nucleotide unclassified non-coding RNA is filed under the name soil metagenome. RNAcentral describes it as "partial contains 5.8S ribosomal RNA, internal transcribed spacer 2, and large subunit ribosomal RNA". The stretch from base 1 to 121 matches the Rfam family "5.8S ribosomal RNA", at positions 35 to 154 of the family's 154-position model. The record is from RNAcentral.